Long non-coding RNA from Polypterus senegalus (gray bichir), 415 nucleotides. RefSeq lists it as uncharacterized. Lineage: Eukaryota; Metazoa; Chordata; Cladistia; Polypteriformes; Polypteridae. The transcript is spliced from 3 exons. The record is from RefSeq and is a predicted model, not a curated record.
CGGUCCGACCCUCAGACGCAACUUGGACAACAAACUGAAAGUUGUGUUUGCUCAUUGCUGCUCCACUUUACCUAUUUCACAGUUUCAAGAGGUCCAUGGGAUGUAAUCAGAAGAUGAAUAACAAACAAGCUUGGCAUUCAUCAUAAGAUCCUCAAAAAGCCAGACUGGAUGAUUGACAACCCGACCACCUCUGAUGUCAAUUGCGGUGUCUGCCCCCGCCCCCCGGACCCGCCUCUUCCUGCCUGGCCCCUGUACUUGACAGGAAGUGUCACCAUCUUAGUUUGUCUAAACUGAGUCGUGUCCUUGGAUUCAAUCACUUACAUUUAUUAUUAAUAUUUAGUCACAUUUAUUUUGUGUCCUUAUUUAUUCACUUAGAUUCGUGUCCUUAAAUUACUUAAAUAAAAAACUCUUUGCC